CGCAAACAAAUUUGGGACGACGCGACGGUUACUCGACAUAAUGGCGGUCUCACUUCAGUCACUAUCCACGGAGGAUAUUCUUCAGAAAUAAGAAGCUGGAAUACAGGUCACCGAAGAUGAAGCACAGAAAUUCAGAGAGAAUGAGGUUGAUGGUGAAACAAUAGAUUGUGGCCUUACAGAGAACAUGGUUUCAUACUUAUUUGAAGGCUUCUUUAAAAAACAGGCUAAGUUUAACAAAUUUGCACGUGAGAUGAAGGAGGUGGUGACAAUAACUUAAGAACCAGUGCCGGCAGAGAACUAUCAAGAUACUUCAUCUACUGAAAUCACACUUGGCACCAAUCCCUCAAACGGAAAUUUAAAGCUGAACGUGCACCUCUGGUCCAUGAUGAGGUGAGAAAAAGUAAGGACAAGUUUGGGGUCCUUAAGACUGAGGCCCACUGAACAAUCUUCACCAGCGUGUCACAGAUCUACUUAUGGGGAGAUUGUUGUCAAUGGUGAGGAUGCAUCCUCUAUUCAGGGUCAGUUGUGUGAUGAAGUUGACAGAAUGCAUUCAGCUUAAGCCAGCGCUUCAGGGAGGGCUUUACCAGUCUUGUGCCAAAGGUGCUUCACUUCCCAAAAUCUACUAAGCAAGAGUUGAGAUGCUUGCAGAUCUACCAGAUGCUGACUUUCGUGCGACUCUCACAUCCUUAAAGAGAAAGCGGAGAGAUUUGUCACACUGGGAGAGUGUGAUGCUGAUACUCCAUACCGAACUAUACAGUUGGUUGAAACUGACUGGAAAACGGCUUUCUCCAAGAGGGUUCAAGUUCUUGUCAAAGUGGAUCAGGUGGAGGUGUGUCAGGGAAUGGGAGUUGAAGAAGGGAUACAGUAAUUGCAGCUUUCAGUGCUUACUAUGUUUUCAACUUGGCUUAUCCACCCUGCAUGAAGAAUACACGGACCUUCUUGCAGCAUGCCAUAGCCAAGAUCAUUAAGGUGGGUGGCAAGCCCCUUCCAACAACUGUCACCCGAAUGAUCAAUAUCCUGUGCUGAACAUGCCACAACAUUAUUCAUGCACAAGGUGCAGAAGAAAAAAAGAAGGCCUUGCCUUGCCUAGAUGGUAUUAAACAGACUAUUCACGGCGUAUAAUUACCAGUGGUGUAUAAUUCACACUUUCAUGCAUACACAAACAAAGUUGACCCUGAGUGGAGUUUUAUAAAACCAGGGCAAGAGAUGGACUUCAGGCCCUUGACACAUACUCUCUUGAUGAUACUGUAAAAUGUUUGUGAUCCUCAAGAAUAUUUAAGAAGUUCAAAUGAAUUGUGUAGUACAUGUGUAGUUGUGUGAAAUGUGUGGUGGUGAUAAAAUGUUUUUUUUUUUUUUUUAAUUUAAGAGUAUAAAGUUAAUGAAUUGUGUACUGUUGUGGAAAAAACAACUGCUUUGUGAUUUUAAGGAAAGAAAAUUUGAGACUUAGUACUGUUUUGAAGUACUGUUUACUUUAAUGUUAUGUUUUAUAUAAAAAUGACAUGUUGUACUUCUUUUGAAAAAAAAAGCUUUACAUGUGAUGCUUGCUGUUUAAAACUGUAUAUUUAAAAGUGUAUUAACUUUUGAUCCUGCUAUGAGACAUUUGUAAUACAGUGCUUAAUGUUCAUAUGAAAAAAUGUGAGGAUUUUUAAAAAUAUUUAAUAAAUGUAAUGGAACAGCAUUUUGGCCUUUUUAAU
This is a non-coding RNA of Misgurnus anguillicaudatus (oriental weatherfish), 1694 nucleotides long. The record is from RefSeq and is a predicted model, not a curated record. NCBI's taxonomy places the organism in Eukaryota, Metazoa, Chordata, Actinopteri, Cypriniformes, Cobitidae.